RNAcentral lists this ribosomal RNA (616 nucleotides) under Salmonella enterica subsp. enterica serovar Infantis. Its description in RNAcentral is "bacterial SSU rRNA". It matches the Rfam family "Bacterial small subunit ribosomal RNA", at positions 1 to 606 of the family's 1533-position model. Lineage: Bacteria; Pseudomonadati; Pseudomonadota; Gammaproteobacteria; Enterobacterales; Enterobacteriaceae. RNAcentral also lists the same sequence under 1 other name. The record is from RNAcentral.
AAAUUGAAGAGUUUGAUCAUGGCUCAGAUUGAACGCUGGCGGCAGGCCUAACACAUGCAAGUCGAACGGUAACAGGAAGCAGCUUGCUGCUUCGCUGACGAGUGGCGGACGGGUGAGUAAUGUCUGGGAAACUGCCUGAUGGAGGGGGAUAACUACUGGAAACGGUGGCUAAUACCGCAUAACGUCGCAAGACCAAAGAGGGGGACCUUCGGGCCUCUUGCCAUCAGAUGUGCCCAGAUGGGAUUAGCUUGUUGGUGAGGUAACGGCUCACCAAGGCGACGAUCCCUAGCUGGUCUGAGAGGAUGACCAGCCACACUGGAACUGAGACACGGUCCAGACUCCUACGGGAGGCAGCAGUGGGGAAUAUUGCACAAUGGGCGCAAGCCUGAUGCAGCCAUGCCGCGUGUAUGAAGAAGGCCUUCGGGUUGUAAAGUACUUUCAGCGGGGAGGAAGGUGUUGCGGUUAAUAACCGCAGCAAUUGACGUUACCCGCAGAAGAAGCACCGGCUAACUCCGUGCCAGCAGCCGCGGUAAUACGGAGGGUGCAAGCGUUAAUCGGAAUUACUGGGCGUAAAGCGCACGCAGGCGGUCUGUCAAGUCGGAUGUGAAAUCCCCGG